GACGAACGCUGGCGGCGUGCCUAAUACAUGCAAGUCGAGCGAAGUUUUUCUGGUGCUUGCCCUAGAAAAACUUAGCGGCGAACGGGUGAGUAACACGUAAAGAACCUGCCUCAUAGACUGGGACAACUAUUGGAAACGAUAGCUAAUACCGGAUAACAGUAUUUCUCGCAUGAGAGAUAUUUAAAAGUUGGUUAUGCUAACACUAUGAGAUGGCUUUGCGGUGCAUUAGCUAGUUGGUGGGGUAAAGGCCCACCAAGGCGACGAUGCAUAGCCGACCUGAGAGGGUGAUCGGCCACACUGGGACUGAGACACGGCCCAGACUCCUACGGGAGGCAGCAGUAGGGAAUCUUCCGCAAUGGGCGAAAGCCUGACGGAGCAACGCCGCGUGAGCGAAGAAGGAUUUCGGUUCGUAAAGCUCUGUUGUUAGGGAAGAAUGGAUAUGUAGUAACUAUACAUGUAAGAGACGGUACCUAACCAGAAAGCCACGGCUAACUACGUG
This 499-nucleotide ribosomal RNA is filed under the name uncultured bacterium. RNAcentral describes it as "partial 16S ribosomal RNA". It matches the Rfam family "Bacterial small subunit ribosomal RNA", at positions 28 to 507 of the family's 1533-position model. The record is from RNAcentral.